GACGAACGCUGGCGGCGUGCCUAAUACAUGCAAGUCGAACGAGAGCGACCGGUGCUUGCACUGGUCAAUCUAGUGGCGAACGGGUGAGUAACACGUGGGUAACCUGCCCAUCAGAGGGGGAUAACAUUCGGAAACGGAUGCUAAAACCGCAUAGGUUCUUGAGUCACAUGACUGAAGAAGGAAAAGAGGCUUCGGCUUCUGCUGAUGGAUGGACCCGCGGUGCAUUAGCUAGUUGGUGAGGUAACGGCUCACCAAGGCCGUGAUGCAUAGCCGACCUGAGAGGGUGAUCGGCCACAUUGGGACUGAGACACGGCCCAAACUCCUACGGGAGGCAGCAGUAGGGAAUCUUCCGCAAUGGACGCAAGUCUGACGGAGCAACGCCGCGUGAGUGAAGAAGGAUUUCGGUUCGUAAAACUCUGUUGUUAGAGAAGAACAGCGCAUAGAGUAACUGUUAUGCGUGUGACGGUAUCUAACCAGAAAGCCACGGCUAACUACGUGCCAGCAGCCGCGGUAA
Molecule: ribosomal RNA, 514 nt
Filed under: uncultured Carnobacteriaceae bacterium
Lineage: Bacteria; Bacillati; Bacillota; Bacilli; Lactobacillales; Carnobacteriaceae
Description: bacterial SSU rRNA
Rfam family: Bacterial small subunit ribosomal RNA
Source: RNAcentral